CAACGCCACGUGUGUGAUGAAGGUCUUCGGAUUGUAAAGCACUUUCGACCGGACGAAAACCCUGAGGCUAACAUCCUCAGGCUUGACGGUACCGGGAGAAGAAGCACCGGCUAACUCUGUGCCAGCAGCCGCGGUAAUACAGAGGGUGCAAGCGUUGUUCGGAAUUAUUGGGCGUAAAGCGCGUGUAGGCGGCUUUGCAAGUCGGGUGUGAAAGCCCUCAGCUCAACUGAGGAAGUGCGCCCGAAACUGCAGAGCUUGAGUGCCGGAGAGGGUGGCGGAAUUCCCCAAGUAGAGGUGAAAUUCGUAGAUAUGGGGAGGAACACCGGUGGCGAAGGCGGCCACCUGGACGGUAACUGACGCUGAGACGCGAAAGCGUGGGGAGCAAACAGGAUUAGAUACACUGGUAGUCCACGCCGUAAACGAUGAGAACUAGGUGUCGUGGGUGUUGACCCCCGCGGUGCCGUAGCUAACGCAUUAAGUUCUCCGCCUGGGAAGUACGGUCGCAAGACUA
Molecule: ribosomal RNA, 511 nt
Filed under: uncultured Pseudomonadota bacterium
Lineage: Bacteria; Pseudomonadati; Pseudomonadota
Description: bacterial SSU rRNA
Rfam family: Bacterial small subunit ribosomal RNA
Source: RNAcentral